AUGGUCAGUCUCUGCCACACCGACACGUGGAUAUCAUCAAACGAGACAGCGCCUGUCCUCGUUCAGAGCAGGAGGCAGUCCCUGCCUGCGCGCACCACGACAGGAGCGCAUCGGUGCUUUGCGGUCCUUCUCUGCCUUUUGGCUCAACACGUUGUCCAGGAGAAAACUCCAAACUACUGGGAUGAGAUGCUUUCCAACUCGAAACUGAUAAAGCAAACUUGGGGGAAUGUGGGAAGAUGAAGGGGGGAAGAUGAAGCUCAGUCUAGCAAGAACGCAGAAAUAUUUUUGAUCUAUUAAGACUGAGGCGACGCAUAAAACCAGUUACAGGUAAGAGGACAUUUCUCUUUAUGGCACCAAUAUGUCAUUAUUGCGUUUAUUUAUUUUCUUUUUUUCAUCUGUAAGACUCUCUUUGGAUCAAAUUCAGAAAUAUUUCCACAAGUGCAUGUUUGGUUGCGCACCAAGCGCCUGUAUGCUCAAUUCCCCAACAACAGUAAUGAUUGACACGACCUCCUUCAAGUCAAGCAGAUUGCAAAAUUACCGGGAGUAAUUUAUUUAAAUAUUUCGAGGAUGCAGGUGCAGAAAUUAGGUCUUGAAAAGUGGAGGGAAAAAAAUGCUCCAACUUCAGUUGAGUGAAAAAUGUCAUGAAAAUGAAAACACGCGGGCUCUGAGAGACAUAAUGAGAAUGAAAAAUAGCAUUUUCAUCCUCAUGGUCAUCACACUUCUUUUUGUUUUUUUCAUUGAUGUGUGACCACACUUAAUGCUUAUGUCAACAGAAUAGAGUAAAAGAAUUUAGUGUUCUGUUUUUUUUUUUUUCUGCUCUCCCAUCAGAUCCCUGUUGUAUUCCUAUAAUGGUUAUUGACACAGAAUCGCUUCAGCCUGACUGGAGCAAGGCUUUUGGCAGUGCUGAAAUUGAUUUAUGUCAAUGCCCAGUCACUAAUGAAGUGAAAGAAUUACACAAUAUCUACCACAGCUGAUAUUUGGGUGCUUUUUUUCUAUUUGGAGCCGUUCCCCUUGUUAGCUCUUGGCUAAAGCAGACAGGCGCACCAGGAGGUCUGCUUUAAUUUUCUUCUCCCCUUAGAUUUGCUAUCAGUCAGACCUGCUUUGAAGAAAGAUGAUCAAGGUGGAAAAUCAAUGAAUUCCCUCCAGGACCUGCUGUCCUGAUGCAUGACUUAAAAAAGCAAACAUUCUAACAUCUGAAGAAGCGGAUUGCUCAAUAUUGCAUUACAUGUCACUCACGCAUGCUUUGUUGCACAAUCUCAUAACAUUCAGGUCAGCAAGGUCAACUCAGCGUUUGUCAACAAGUUGACUCAGGAAGACGAGGGGAUUAAGUGCAAUAUCUGAUCAAAAUGAAGACUGUAAAUCUCAAUUUUCGGCCCCAUGGGAAACAUAAAUAUCUGGUGGAACUGAGUUUUGACAAAAUCUUCUUUGUGUGCAGGUGGGAUGC
This 1444-nucleotide long non-coding RNA is filed under the name Oryzias sinensis (Chinese medaka). RNAcentral describes it as "lncRNA (ENSOSIG00000011906.1)". The record is from RNAcentral. Lineage: Eukaryota; Metazoa; Chordata; Actinopteri; Beloniformes; Adrianichthyidae.